This 732-nucleotide ribosomal RNA is filed under the name uncultured bacterium. RNAcentral describes it as "bacterial SSU rRNA". It matches the Rfam family "Bacterial small subunit ribosomal RNA", at positions 34 to 761 of the family's 1533-position model. The record is from RNAcentral.
CGCUGGCGGCAGGCCUAACACAUGCAAGUCGAGCGGUAGAGAGAAGCUUGCUUCUCUUGAGAGCGGCGGACGGGUGAGUAAUGCCUAGGAAUCUGCCUGGUAGUGGGGGAUAACGUUCGGAAACGGACGCUAAUACCGCAUACGUCCUACGGGAGAAAGCAGGGGACCUUCGGGCCUUGCGCUAUCAGAUGAGCCUAGGUCGGAUUAGCUAGUUGGUGAGGUAAUGGCUCACCAAGGCGACGAUCCGUAACUGGUCUGAGAGGAUGAUCAGUCACACUGGAACUGAGACACGGUCCAGACUCCUACGGGAGGCAGCAGUGGGGAAUAUUGGACAAUGGGCGAAAGCCUGAUCCAGCCAUGCCGCGUGUGUGAAGAAGGUCUUCGGAUUGUAAAGCACUUUAAGUUGGGAGGAAGGGUUGUAGAUUAAUACUCUGCAAUUUUGACGUUACCGACAGAAUAAGCACCGGCUAACUCUGUGCCAGCAGCCGCGGUAAUACAGAGGGUGCAAGCGUUAAUCGGAAUUACUGGGCGUAAAGCGCGCGUAGGUGGUCUGUUAAGUUGGAUGUGAAAUCCCCGGGCUCAACCUGGGAACUGCAUUCAAAACUGACUGACUAGAGUAUGGUAGAGGGUGGUGGAAUUUCCUGUGUAGCGGUGAAAUGCGUAGAUAUAGGAAGGAACACCAGUGGCGAAGGCGACCACCUGGACUAAUACUGACACUGAGGUGCGAAAGCG